CGUCUGGAAACGGACGCUAACACCGGAUACGCCCCCCAGAGAGAUCUGGGCGGGGAAAGUUUACGCCGAGAGAGGGGCCCGCGUCGGAUUAGGUAGUUGGUGAGGUAACGGCUCACCAAGCCUGCGAUCCGUAGCUGGUCUGAGAGGAUGAUCAGCCACACUGGGACUGAGACACGGCCCAGACUCCUACGGGAGGCAGCAGUGGGGAAUAUUGGACAAUGGGCGCAAGCCUGAUCCAGCAAUGCCGCGUGAGUGAUGAAGGCCUUAGGGUUGUAAAGCUCUUUCGCACGCGACGAUGAUGACGGUAGCGUGAGAAGAAGCCCC
RNAcentral lists this ribosomal RNA (324 nucleotides) under Azospirillum sp. MF52. Its description in RNAcentral is "bacterial SSU rRNA". It matches the Rfam family "Bacterial small subunit ribosomal RNA", at positions 147 to 494 of the family's 1533-position model. The record is from RNAcentral. Lineage: Bacteria; Pseudomonadati; Pseudomonadota; Alphaproteobacteria; Rhodospirillales; Azospirillaceae.